This 492-nucleotide ribosomal RNA is filed under the name uncultured bacterium. RNAcentral's name for it is "partial 16S ribosomal RNA". It matches the Rfam family "Bacterial small subunit ribosomal RNA", at positions 29 to 507 of the family's 1533-position model. The record is from RNAcentral.
AGUGAACGCUGGCGGUAGGCCUAACACAUGCAAGUCGAACGGCAGCACAGUAAGAGCUUGCUCUUACGGGUGGCGAGUGGCGGACGGGUGAGGAAUACAUCGGAAUCUACUUUUUCGUGGGGGAUAACGUAGGGAAACUUACGCUAAUACCGCAUACGACCUACGGGUGAAAGCAGGGGAUCUUCGGACCUUGCGCGAUUGAAUGAGCCGAUGUCGGAUUAGCUAGUUGGCGGGGUAAAGGCCCACCAAGGCGACGAUCCGUAGCUGGUCUGAGAGGAUGAUCAGCCACACUGGAACUGGGACACGGUCCAGACUCCUACGGGAGGCAGCAGAGGGGAACAUUGGACAAUGGGCGCAAGCCUGAUCCAGCCAUACCGCGUGGGUGAAGAAGGCCUUCGGGUUGGAAAGCCCUUUUGUUGGGAAAGAAAAGCAGCAGGUUAAUACCCCGCUGUUCUGACGGUACCCAAAGAAUAAGCACCGGCUAACUUCGUG